CUAAACUGAAGUGGUCAAUCCCAUCUUGACACACGCAUCGACAAGUCAAGUACUUGACUACACCCAGCAGCCUUCCAUCACUGAAUUAAAAAUUCAGAUAGUCCAGUGCCUAAGUGCAGUGAGUUGCUUGCAAGUCACCAUGGCGGUCUCAGGUCGGAGAGAUAUUUAUACCCAUAUUCCAUCGGAGCAAAUCUUGACAGUAGAAAUAGCUCC
This 213-nucleotide long non-coding RNA is filed under the name Elaeis guineensis (African oil palm). RNAcentral describes it as "long non-coding RNA (EGUI_LNC069109)". Lineage: Eukaryota; Viridiplantae; Streptophyta; Magnoliopsida; Arecales; Arecaceae. The record is from RNAcentral.